GAUGAAAGCAGAGGGGCUUAUGAAAACGUCGUCAACAUGCAGGUUUUAUCAGCAGUAUUUCAGCGCAACGCAACGUCUUUCCGGCUCAUGGCUGGCCCGCCUGAACGGUAAAACGCCGCAACGAAUGCUGGAUGAGAUCAUGCAGUGGGAUGUGACAUUCCCGGUGACGUUUAAGCGCCGCUAAGCGGACAUCACGUGUAACUGAGUAUUGGUGCUUUUCACCUGCCAGCAGUGUGCUACUGCUGGCUUUUUUC
Molecule: non-coding RNA, 254 nt
Organism: Cronobacter sakazakii ATCC BAA-894
Lineage: Bacteria; Pseudomonadati; Pseudomonadota; Gammaproteobacteria; Enterobacterales; Enterobacteriaceae
Rfam family: SgrS RNA
About the family: In sugar transport-related sRNA (SgrS) is induced under conditions of glucose phosphate stress in E.coli.
Source: Rfam